UUGAGCUUGAUCCCUGGCUCAGGACGAACGCUGGCGGCGUGCCUAAUACAUGCAAGUCGAGCGGAUUUAUCCUUCGGGAUAAGUUAGCGGCGGACGGGUGAGUAACACGUAGGUAACCUGCCUAUAAGAUCGGGAUAACUAUCGGAAACGAUAGCUAAGACCGGAUAAYUGGUUUUCUCGCAUGAGAGAAUUAUGAAACACGGAGCAAUCUGUGGCUUAUAGAUGGGCCUGCGGCGCAUUAGCUAGUUGGUAGGGUAACGGCYCACCAAGGCGACGAUGCGUAGCCGACCUGAGAGGGUGAACGGCCACACUGGGACUGAGACACGGCCCAGACUCCUACGGGAGGCAGCAGUAGGGAAUCUUCCGCAAUGGACGCAAGUCUGACGGAGCAACGCCGCGUGAGUGAUGAAGGUUUUCGGAUCGUAAAGCUCUGUUGCCCUAGACGAACAGCAAGAGGAGUAACUGCCUUUUGUGUGACGGUAUAGGAGAAGAAAGCCCCGGCUAACUA
Molecule: ribosomal RNA, 508 nt
Filed under: Paenibacillaceae bacterium CL2.75
Lineage: Bacteria; Bacillati; Bacillota; Bacilli; Caryophanales; Paenibacillaceae
Description: bacterial SSU rRNA
Rfam family: Bacterial small subunit ribosomal RNA
Source: RNAcentral